GAGCCAGACUCCUACGGGAGGCAGCAGUGGGGAAUAUUGCACAAUGGGGGAAACCCUGAUGCAGCGACGCCGCGUGAGUGAAGAAGUAUUUCGGUCUGUAAAGCUCUAUCAGCAGGGAAGAAAAUGACGGUACCUGACUAAGAAGCCCCGGCUAACUACGUGCCAGCAGCCGCGGUAAUACGUAGGGGGCAAGCGUUAUCCGGAUUUACUGGGUGUAAAGGGAGCGUAGGCGGCGAUGCAAGUCAGAAGUGAAAGCCCGGGGCUCAACUCCGGGACUGCUUUUGAAACUGUAUGGCUAGAGUGCAGGAGAGGCAAGUGGAAUUCCUAGUGUAGCGGUGAAAUGCGUAGAUAUUAGGAGGAACACCAGUGGCGAAGGCGGCUUGCUGGACUGUAAAUGACGCUGAGGCUCGAAAGCGUGGGGAGCAAACAGGAUUAGAUACCCCGGUAGU
Molecule: ribosomal RNA, 449 nt
Filed under: uncultured bacterium
Lineage: Bacteria
Description: bacterial SSU rRNA
Rfam family: Bacterial small subunit ribosomal RNA
Source: RNAcentral